Long non-coding RNA from Oreochromis aureus, 2124 nucleotides. NCBI's taxonomy places the organism in Eukaryota, Metazoa, Chordata, Actinopteri, Cichliformes, Cichlidae. The record is from Ensembl.
GCCUAGAAUGCAUUUUAAAUAAAGAAAACCAGCUGCCGUCUUUGUGCAGAGGGCGAGAGGCGAGUUGGGGCAGUGGGAGUGGAUAAAGGAAGGAAAGGAGGAGUUUUGACUCAGGAGAAGUGAAAGUGAAAUGAAUCUGUGGAGUAUUUAAAGAGGAAGUUUGGAGUCCCAGAGCUGUUGGCAGACGGGACUGCAGAGGACGACGCAGCGCUCAGACGCGCAGCCAUGCUGACCUGAGCCCAGCCCUGCUGAAACCCUCUGUUUGUGGGUGGGAUUGUAACGGAACCCAUAAUGCAGCUGUGAUUCUGAGCCCCAGCUGGUUAUGGGGUCCGUUUCCAUCCCACGGCGCACAAGACAUCCCCCGACCCAUCAGCCCGGUGGGGCAUCCUCCUUCCUUCCACACAGACAUUACGCUUCAACACUGCAGGUCACCUUGAAAUGUUUUUCAGACAGAAUUCAUGUCACGUCAGUUCAAAACUUUCACAUGAAGAACAAAAACCAUGUUUAAAAAGUAAAAGUAAAACACCAGCGGCAGCAAAGAACGCUAUAAAAGCAUCUGGAGUAAAAAUACUAAGCUGAGCGAGUCACAAAGAAAACCCAUUUUUGAUAACAGCUACUGUCUCGCUGCUCACCACCACGGCCCACGCAGGGCAGACCUGUGGUUUUGUUUCUGUUGAAUCAGUGAAGAAAGUGAAACUAACGCCUGUAAGGUCAUGUAACACUCUGUCGCCGGUCUGCAAAAGCGAUAUAUGAUGGUUCAUGACUGACUGAUGCAGAGGUGUUUUUCCUCAAUGACACGUUUUCUCCCGGAUUGCUGCGAGCAGGAAACGCAACCGGGAAUUUCGUGUCAGCCAAGAAUGACACCUGAAACAGCAACUGAGAAGCCAGCUGCAAAUGCUUUUGGAAUUUCAAUAUUUAAAAUGUGUGUAGUUGUUUUUUUUAUUUUUUUAACUAAUUGUAUUGCUAAACUGGUAUUUCUAAUAAACCUCAAACUUUAAACUGACAGUUAUUGUGCAUUUUCCUUGCAGUGCCCAUUGUGGCAUGUUGCUUAUGAUGCGCUCUACCACAGACAGUUUCAGUGGUACAUACAGUAAAUAACGGUGGUUUUUCUCGUCCUCUUGGAACUACUGCCUGGUUUAUGUAUGACAACAAUGCUUUCUCGGAAAGCUCGUGACAACCCAGUUGUCCUGUAACUGUCGAAUCACAUUACAAACUUUUACCAUUUCCUCCAAACACAUCACAAAGCAGCAGCUGCGAUUUGUUCUGCUUUUACAAAUGAGUGCGGCCCACUGUUUCCACAAACCAGCACACGAUAUGCAUACGUGUUCUUCUUAAUAUCCAUUGUUGGGUAAGGCCCAUGUGUCUGGGCUUGGAGCCUUCAUUGGCAAAAUGCACAUAAACUAGGAGAGGUCCAAAACACCAAUCAUCAAAGACGACACUCGGCUGCACGGCACAAAGAAGACAGCAGGCAAAGGCAGCCGUGAGGAAAUCAUCAUGAAAGAAGACUCUGCAGAUAUAACAUCUUACAACACCUAAUCAAAUAAAGGAAAACAUAAACCAUGUAAUCAAUACAAUUAUCUGCCUUUUCAAGCCUGCUUAAUCUAUAAGAGUGAGGAAAAAACUGCCCUCAAUUAUGCCGAACAGCAUCACCUACAGAGGACGACCUGUAAUUCUACAGUUCCACAAGAUCACAGGAAAUGACUGAACAGCAGGUCCUGUGUUUAGUGCACGAGUCCACACCUGCCAUCACCGACCCUGUAAAAGAGGGUGAAACCUUUCAACAAGCAGAGCACAUAUUUGGCUUCAUAAGAGAUUCUGUUUUGGUCGGUUCAAAAAAAAGACAAACAUAUUGGGAUAAAGCUUCAUACAAGUUGAUUAGAUUUUUUAUUCUGCUAUAGCUUAUUGUUGUAUUUAACUGUGGAUGGUGACGUGAUGUUUUUUGUUUUGUUCUUUUAUGACAGUUUUCUCAUCUGGGUGGUUAGCCUGCUUUCUAUCGUGCCAGUGUGUCCUCUUUGUUGAUUGGUGAUUGGACCUCACCACAUAUUUCUAUAUAAUUAUUAUACUAUAUUUUAAAAUAUUAUCUCAUCUUAUUAUGCAUCAGACCAUCCUGAUGACGUCUCAGCC